This is a small nuclear RNA of Erinaceus europaeus (western European hedgehog), 156 nucleotides long. Its record names the gene U1. It matches the Rfam family "U1 spliceosomal RNA". From Rfam's summary of the family: U1 is a small nuclear RNA (snRNA) component of the spliceosome (involved in pre-mRNA splicing). The record is from Ensembl. Lineage: Eukaryota; Metazoa; Chordata; Mammalia; Eulipotyphla; Erinaceidae.
AGACUUACUUGGCAGGGGAGAUGCCAUCAUCAUAAAGGUGGUUUCCCUAGGGUGAGGCUUAUCAACUGCACUCUGGAUGUGUGAUUUCUCCAAAUGAGGGAAACUCAACUGUAUAAUUUGUGGUAGUGGGGCAGACUGCGUUUGCCCUCUCCCCUG